GGGCCGAUAGUUUAGGGGUAGAGCGCCACGUUCGCAACGUGGAAGUCGAGGGUUCGAUUCCCUCUCGGUCCA
This 72-nucleotide transfer RNA is filed under the name Candidatus Nitrosopelagicus brevis. It matches the Rfam family "tRNA". Rfam says of the family: Transfer RNA (tRNA) molecules are approximately 80 nucleotides in length. Their secondary structure includes four short double-helical elements and three loops (D, anti-codon, and T loops). The record is from Rfam by way of RNAcentral. Lineage: Archaea; Thermoproteati; Nitrososphaerota.